This is a long non-coding RNA of Bactrocera latifrons, 546 nucleotides long. RefSeq lists it as uncharacterized. The record is from RefSeq and is a predicted model, not a curated record. The transcript is spliced from 3 exons. NCBI's taxonomy places the organism in Eukaryota, Metazoa, Arthropoda, Insecta, Diptera, Tephritidae.
UUCUCUUGAGGCCUGAGAACAGAAAGAAGUUGGUAGGAGUUAGACACUGAUGGAUGCAGAACUAAUUCAUAGCCCAGCUCAUGCUUUUCUUCAAUCAAGUUCAAUGAUUUCUGGCUCUUUUAUGCAACUACACUUUUUUCUUGACUGUUGAAGCCUUUCAUAUAAAAAGGGAUAAUGAAUUCGUUAAGCACUCACUGAUCAUUUACGGCUGAACAACAUGAAGCUCUGUUUUAUCUCUAUAUUGGUUCUCACCAUACUCGGGUUGGCUUUAGGUGGCGGCAGAGGAGGUAACGGUGGUCGGGGAAGCGGUACGGGUGGUGGAGGUGGCGGAGGUGGUGGAUAUAAGGGUGGUGAUGGUGGCGAUGGUCAUUGAAUUACUAAACUAAAGUUUGAGUGACCAAUCACUACUUGAAAGUAAAGUAGUUAUUUUUAUGGCUUGUAAAUAUAAUUUUAAAUACACUCCUAAGAUACUAAACUGACUGUUAAAAUGUAUGGCUUAAAUUAACAACAAAAAUACAUAUCAAUAUUUUUCUACAAAACUGAUAA